AUUGAACGCUGGCGGCAGGCCUAACACAUGCAAGUCGAACGGUAGCACAGAGAGCUUGCUCUCGGGUGACGAGUGGCGGACGGGUGAGUAAUGUCUGGGAAACUGCCCGAUGGAGGGGGAUAACUACUGGAAACGGUAGCUAAUACCGCAUAACGUCGCAAGACCAAAGUGGGGGACCUUCGGGCCUCACACCAUCGGAUGUGCCCAGAUGGGAUUAGCUAGUAGGUGGGGUAAUGGCUCACCUAGGCGACGAUCCCUAGCUGGUCUGAGAGGCUGACCAGCCUCACUGGACCUAAGACACGGUCCAGACUCCUAGGGGAGGCAGCAGUGGGGAAUAUUGCACAAUGGGCGCAAGCCUGAUGCAGACAUGCCGCGUGUAUGAAGAAGGCCUUCGGGUUGUAGAGUACUUUCAGCGGGGAGGAAGGCGGUGAAGUUAAUAGCUUCACCGAUUGACGUUACCCGCAGAAGAAGCACCGGCUAACUCCGUGCCAGCCGCCGCGGUAA
Molecule: ribosomal RNA, 504 nt
Filed under: uncultured bacterium
Lineage: Bacteria
Description: partial 16S ribosomal RNA
Rfam family: Bacterial small subunit ribosomal RNA
Source: RNAcentral